UCUGAAGAUGUUGCGCGGCGAUAAGAUUGUUCUGGAGGAAAAAAAGAGAACGAGAGGACUUUACUACCUAGCGGGGAGCCUAGUGCGAGGUAGAGCUUUAAGAGCCAGGAGGAGUCCAGAGCAAGAUGGAGCUCCAGAUGGAGGUGGAUCGGGCACGAAACGCAAGACUCAGAAGGAUGAUAGGCGAUAUCGCAAGGUGAGAUUCCUAUUGCUGCAGGAUGAUAUCCCGAGC
RNAcentral lists this long non-coding RNA (232 nucleotides) under Elaeis guineensis (African oil palm). RNAcentral describes it as "long non-coding RNA (EGUI_LNC022420)". The record is from RNAcentral. Lineage: Eukaryota; Viridiplantae; Streptophyta; Magnoliopsida; Arecales; Arecaceae.